Oncorhynchus keta (chum salmon) is the source of this 669-nucleotide long non-coding RNA. RefSeq lists it as uncharacterized. NCBI's taxonomy places the organism in Eukaryota, Metazoa, Chordata, Actinopteri, Salmoniformes, Salmonidae. The transcript is spliced from 3 exons. The record is from RefSeq and is a predicted model, not a curated record.
CACCUAUAGGCCUACUACUGGCCAAUCAGAUAGCUCAGAUCACUGUGUCUGCAGUUUCCUCGAGUGCACAGCAAAGUUGCUACUGUGAAAUUUCCGAACUUUCAAAACCGUUACUAGAGAGAAAUUGUCAAUGAAAUACAAUGAAGGGCUGCUGUUUGUAUGAACGCUGAUGUCAAAGCCUGUCAGAGGGAAACAAAAGACUGCUCCUAAACUCCAGUUGAACCCUUAAGAAUGGAUGAAGCUGGAAGUGGAUCCAUCCAACCUGAGAGGAGGUGACACCACUGUGUUUAGUGAGAUGGAGAUGGGUGUGUCAGACAGCUCCUUCGUACAAAGGGAACAUCCAUAUUUGGCAAUAAAAGCCAUUAGUUCAGGUGUAGAACUACAGUGUCUGUUUCCUAUGUUCUGGAACAUGCGACAUACAAUAUUACUCUUACCUAAUUAAAGGGCUGACAUAAUGCAUAUUUUGAUGCACAUUUCAUCGACUACAACUAUUGUUCAAUGUGUUUGUUUUCAUGUGAAUAUGGCUGUUUGAUCACAGGGAACAAAAUCACCAUGAAAUAUGUGGCCUGUUUUUAUGUACAUAUGCAUCAAAAUAAAUAGUUGUACAGCAUGUAUUGUAAAUCAAAUACAUGCAUCGUUAACUACUGUGCUGCAUUGCAUUGCAUAUUU